This 75-nucleotide transfer RNA is filed under the name Butyrivibrio sp. RNAcentral describes it as "tRNA-Leu". It matches the Rfam family "tRNA". Rfam says of the family: Transfer RNA (tRNA) molecules are approximately 80 nucleotides in length. Their secondary structure includes four short double-helical elements and three loops (D, anti-codon, and T loops). Further hydrogen bonds mediate the characteristic L-shaped molecular structure. tRNAs have two regions of fundamental functional importance: the anti-codon, which is responsible for specific mRNA codon recognition, and the 3' end, to which the tRNAs corresponding amino acid is attached (by aminoacyl-tRNA synthetases). tRNAs cope with the degeneracy of the genetic code in two manners: having more than one tRNA (with a specific anti-codon) for a particular amino acid; and 'wobble' base-pairing, i.e. permitting non-standard base-pairing at the 3rd anti-codon position. Lineage: Bacteria; Bacillati; Bacillota; Clostridia; Lachnospirales; Lachnospiraceae. The record is from RNAcentral. RNAcentral also lists the same sequence under 1 other name.
ACAGGUGUAUCCCAAUUGGCAGAGGAAGCGAGCUCAAACCUCGUUUAUGUGUGGAUUCGAAUUCCACCGCCUGUA